Molecule: ribosomal RNA, 332 nt
Filed under: uncultured bacterium
Lineage: Bacteria
Description: bacterial SSU rRNA
Rfam family: Bacterial small subunit ribosomal RNA
Source: RNAcentral
CGUGUAGGUGGGAUUCCAAGUCAGAUGUGAAACUCCGCGGCUCAACUGCGGAACUGCAUCUGAAACUGGGAUUCUUGAGUGCUGGAGAGGAAAGCGGAAUUCCUAGUGUAGCGGUGAAAUGCGUAGAUAUUAGGAGGAACACCAGUGGCGAAGGCGGCUUUCUGGACAGUAACUGACACUGAGGCGCGAAAGCGUGGGGAGCAAACAGGAUUAGAUACCCUGGUAGUCCACGCUGUAAACGAUGGAUACUAGGUGUAGGAGGUAUCGACCCCUUCUGUGCCGGAGUUAACACAAUAAGUAUCCCACCUGGGGAGUACGGCCGCAAGGUUGAA